Molecule: unclassified non-coding RNA, 337 nt
Filed under: soil metagenome
Description: partial contains 5.8S ribosomal RNA, internal transcribed spacer 2, and large subunit ribosomal RNA
Rfam family: 5.8S ribosomal RNA (bases 1-120)
Source: RNAcentral
GAUGAAGAACGUAGCGAAAUGCGAUAAGUAAUGUGAAUUGCAGAAUUCAGUGAAUCAUCGAAUCUUUGAACGCACAUUGCGCCCCUUGGUAUUCCGGGGGACAUGCCUGUUCGAGCGUCAUUUCAACCCUCAAGCUCUGCUUGGUAUUGGGCACCGUCCUUUGCGGGCGCGCCUCAAAGACCUCGGCGGUGGCGUCUUGCCUCAAGCGUAGUAGAAUACACCUCGCUUCGGAGCGUAAGGCGUCGCCCGCCGGACGAACCUUCUGAACUUUUCUCAAGGUUGACCUCGGAUCAGGUAGGGAUACCCGCUGAACUUAAGCAUAUCAAUAAGCGGAGGA